CCGGUAGGCUGCAGCUCCGCCGUGGGCAUGCGCAGUACGCGCCCGCGGCUCUUUUUUUCGAGCGCCGGCGGGGCCGGGCUGAGCGGGCGGGGCGGGGCCGCAGGGCCGGGCGGGCUGGGAUUGGGCGGAGGCGCUCGAUGCUGAUUGGGCAGCGCUGCCGGCCCGCGGUAUAGAAGGGCGGGCGGGGCAGGUGCGGCCGGUUGUGUGUGAGGGCUGAGGGUGCGGCCCCGCUGCUGCCCGGGCUGCGGAGGGGAGAGCGCCUUGUCCCCUGGGUUUAUGGACUGGGAGAGCUGGGGGGCGUUUAGGGGCGCCUUGUGCUGGGCAGCGGGGGCCGGUUUGCAGCCUGGCUCGUGGUUUCCACUGGUGCUGGGGAGUGGAGGCGAGUUGUGCUUCCUGCUGGGAGAGAGAAGGGCCUUGGGAAGCUGCUCCAUGAGCCACAGCUGUGCCGAGCCUGGGAGUCUGUCCAGGUAAGAGCAGGGCUUAUACUGCCAGUGAGGANUCCCCAUCUUCCAGGAGAUAUACAUAUUAAAGUUUCAAAUGCUCUUCCUAAUCCUUUGUUGGCUUGAGGCUCUCCCCUGCAGGAACUCCAGGAACUCCUGGUGCCGCCUGGGCCGAUGGAUUGGACGCCCCAGCCCCUCCGUUCCUGCCCAGCCACUGAGUCCGUGUCGAGUGGUGGCACUGCCAGCCCUGCAGUGGGAUGUAGCCUGGAAAGUGCACAGAGCUGAGCCAAGGGAUUGAAAGGGACCAACCAAGGGAGGUGAAGAAAGAAGGCAGAAGGGAAGUGAGGCAUCAGCCAAGCAGCACCAAGUUCCUGUGGAAGCAGGUGAGUUGUCUUGAGGUUCCUCAGUCAGGCACUGAGGACUUGGAGGGCUCCAGACAGAGCAGACCUGGGAAGCCCUUCGGUGAAGCCCCUUGGAAACCUUCUAAGGGUAGGUGUGUAUGGUAAUAAGUGUGGGAGAGUGCCCUGAGUAUGGAAUAGGAAUGCAGGGAAGGAAAAUGAAUCCUC
RNAcentral lists this long non-coding RNA (1006 nucleotides) under Lepidothrix coronata (blue-crowned manakin). RNAcentral's name for it is "lncRNA (ENSLCOG00000007804.1)". The record is from RNAcentral. Lineage: Eukaryota; Metazoa; Chordata; Aves; Passeriformes; Pipridae.